UAUACUGAAAAACAUAUUUACCCAUAUGAAAAUGUAAAGUGAUCCGGUUUGUUACACUUUUCUAGUUAUGUACAAUGUUUCCCAGGAAAGUCCCAUACUUUCCUGAAUGUUGGUUACCAAUGUGAAAGAUGUAUACUGAAACCUGGUUAUCCUGUGAAAUGUAUUAAGUUAUUCAUUAUUACUAUUAAGUAAAUCUCUGUUAUCCUAAUUGCGAGUUCCAUAACCAUACAAUAGACUAGAUAUGGCAAUAAGUAGUCCACAUCACCUUAUGAGUUUUGUCACCCUUGAACCAUUUCGGUUCGGCUGUAGCUAGCAGCCGGGUGGUGAAGUCAGCCCUGUAUAGAUCUAUACCCUCAAGUCACCCUCCCUAUCCAAGAGAUUCUGGUUACGUGUGCAGUCCUCCACUCGUGUAUCUCUGUGGAGUGUUCACCGAGGACGUGUCUCCAAUCAUAUAGGACUAACUAAUUUACUAGUAAUAAUAUGAUAAUCCUCCACUCGCAUAUCUCUGUGGAGUGUUACGGAGGACAAAACAAUGUACAAGCUCUAUGUUCAAAGGUUCUAAUGUCAUGCUUUUAACUGAUAAAAUGUGGAAAACCAUUUGUGAAAUAUAUAAAACAUAACAGUUUAAAAUCCAUUUCACAAAUAUAUGUUUACGUGAUCUGCAUGUUAAAACGGUUAUCAGUUGUAACAAUCAGUGUUAAAAGCAUAUAAAAUGUGAAAUACACACAUGAAAACAAGUUUUGAGUACAAGUAAUCCCUUGUACUUUGCUUGUGUCCCCCCCUGAGAACAGUGAAAAACAGUGAAAAAGGGUAGGGGUAUGAACUCACCGCUUAAUGUAGAGAUCGAGUGUCAACGGAUGCCCUGAACUCCUAUGGCCCCUAUUUUUCAUGUGACGACACAUAAAUGAGUUAGAACUAAGGUGUUUCAUGACUAAUCAUGAUGGGAAAACAUUCUUAGGGCUUGGAAUUACUAAGAAAUAGUGUCCUAUGAUCCAAACUUAAUGAUUUAUGCAAGUUUAGGGCCAAAUAUGGGUAUUAGAGUGGGUGUAUGGUCGUGAAAAUAAAUGUGCGGCCGGGGAGUGUGGCCAGGAGUGUGUGUGAGGUAGCACACAAGAGUGUGCGGCCGUAUAGAGGGUGUGUGCGGCCGUACACAAGAGUAUGCGGCCGUACACUCCUCAUUUGAGUCCAUAUGUUGAAUUUUGAAGUGAAUGCUCUUCAUACUUGGGAGUUUUGAAUGUGUGCUGCCCCCAUAUGAAGGUGUGCGGCCGUACACUGUCACACCCCCAAACCUGAACGGCGGAAACGUUCGGGGGCGGAUGACUUCAUGUGGUAACGUAACAAAUGAAUACAUAGUAAAGAAAGCAAUACAACCAUCAUAUAUAUAAUUGAAAGUUUACAUUUGUCAAAAGUUACAUGUUCAAAACUUAAUUACAAUAUGAUGUCAAAAUACGAGAUUAAACUGGCGCCGCAGCAUCCCUUCAUCAAAAGCGAAAUGAAUACCUGAAAUUACUGAUUUCCUGGGACAUACAAGUAAUUUUGAAAGAGUAGAUCAGCAUUUAAGCUGGUGAAUUUCAUAAGUAUUUAAGUGACAAUGUUUGAAUGAAAUGAAAUGUUUUAUCUUUGUUUGUUUGUGUUUAGAAAAUCCUAUAUUUUCUACUAGUAUAAAAGUAGCCUUCACUCAAGACCAAUGUUUGUUUCCAAAAUGUAUGUAAAUGUAAAAUAACCAAUGAGUUUGAAACCCUUGUAAAUCAAUGCAUUUUUAAUACCCCUUGUGAGUUUUAUAACCAUACUAUUGACUCUGAAUUCCUAUACACAACAUUCUUCAGGCGUUGGAAUGUUAUGACGUUUGUCACCCCAAACGGUGGACUGCAGCUAACAGUCAGGGCGCGGGUUGUCAAGCCCGUAUAGAUCUAUACACAAACACCAUGCUCCCCCUCCAAGGGAUUCUGGUAUAUAAUACAGGACUUGAAAUGUGUACUCGAACGUACAUGAAGUUAGUGUCUCACAAAUCCGUGGUAUAAAAACAGAUCUACUUGUUAAAAUGUUACGUUUGUUCUUGUAUACGAAAGUAAACUUCUUGAAAUAUGUGUUUCUAGUACAUAAGAGUUAGAAAUCUGUUCGUAAAACUAUACCUAUUAUAGUUUCCAAAAAGCGUGUCUUGUUUGUUUAGAAAUAUUGAGAAAAGGAAUCACUUGUUUAUGAAAGUAUAGAUUUUUGGUGUAGAGUCUAGGAUAGACAAGAAAAAUCUAAGAACAGUUUAGUUUAUACAUGCAUUACAACAACAUUAUAUUUUAAAAGGUAAAAUGCUAUUGUGACAUAUGUUAUAUAUAUAUAAAAGUUCCUUUAAAUGUUUAUAAAUCGCAUGUGAUUUGAAUAUAUAACAGUAUAUAAAAGAGUUUCUUUAUGUAACACACGAUAAUACUCGUGUGUUUUACUUGUAAUCCCCCCCUUGAAAGCAUAUAAAAGUAUUUAGAAUAAUUAAAAAGGUUGAUUAAGGGGUAUGAAACUCACUUGAAAGUUUUGGAGAUAGCGAGAUGGAAAACCGGGCAGAGUUUCGUCUCGGGAAACGGAUUUUCCUCGGGAUUCUCGGGAAUCUCGGGAGUAAAAUCGACCUUCGGGACUUGAGCCAAAAAGACCAGAGCUUCGGGUUUGAACGGACACGGAAAACGAGGCAAAGUUGAGAGAGAGAGAAGAGAAAUGAACCCUUUCUUUGGAAACCCUCGCAUCCUAUUUAUAGUAAGGCUGGUCUGCCUCGGUACGCGGGGCGUACGCUCGUACGCAGCGCGUACGCGUACGUCAUGCAUGACCGAAGCCUCGACUGCCUCGGUUCGGAUGGGACAGGUUGCUGGGUACGCGGGUCGGAUGGGACGCCGGGUCGGAUGGGACGUCGGGUCGGACGGGUCGGGGCUUCGGACGGGUCGGAUGGGUCGGUUUCUUCGGAUAGCGCGACGUGGACGAUCAGAGGCCAAUCCUCUCGGUUACGCGGGGCGUACAGGGGUACGCAGCGCGUACCUCGGAGGAGGAUGCUGACUCCCCUUCGGAUAAUAUCCGAAUUUUGAAUUAAAUAAAUAAUUAAUUUAUUUAAUAAACUUCAAAAAUUCAUAUCUUCUUCAUACGAACUCCGUUUUCGAUGGUCUUUAUAUCCUCGCGUAGGUGAGACUACGCUCUACAACUUUCGUUUAGACUCCGUCGGCAAAUUCCAAAAUUAUAUUUUUAUUAUUUAUUAAAAAUCCAUCGUGUUUAAGGAAUUUCUUUGAAAAUUCAUAACUUCUUUAUCUGAUGUCGGUUUUUGCCAGACUUUUUACCACUGGAAUACCAUUGUCGAGACCUUCGAUUCUCGUUUAGGUCAUUCUGGCCAAAAGUCGCUCGAUCUCCGAUUCGAGUUUUUAGCUGUCUGUUGCUAAGCCGAACUUGGAAAAAUCAUAACUUCGCUAUAUGAAGUCGGAUUUGGGCGUUCUUUUCACGUACGAUCAUGGUUCAAAGACAUUUAAUCAUAGAAGGAAAUUAAGUAGAACUUAUUUGUACAUUUUAUUAUGAAAGUAACUUUUUAUUAUUCGGAAGUGGUUACAAUACUUGACCCAUUUUGGUCGUUACAAAGAGUUGAAAUAUCAGGUUGUCACAUACACCUUCAUGGGAUGAUGAAUAUGAUGAACAUAAUGAGUUUUAAGAUUGGGAUCCAAGUGUUUACCACUAUACUUAUCUUGAAGAUGGAGUAGAUCACGUAUAUGAAGCCUUCCAAGUGUUUUGGUCGAUGAUUUAGAGAGAGAAAGUAGAGAGAGGGAACAGAAACAUCUAAAUGAAUGAAUGAAGGGGUAUCCAUCCAUAUAUUGAAUUGGGUGUGAGGUUGAGGGUGUUUGCAGUUGGGUGUGUGGGCAUACACACAUGUGUGUGACCGCAGACACAAGUGUGUGGCCGCACACACCUUAGUUGGUGAGUUUGGCCCGAUAUUGUGAUACUAAACACUCUCCAACCCUUCUUAAGACUCAUAUCUAGAUUAUACUAAGUCUAGAGCACCCAUAUGGAACCACAUGAUUUAAUAAAAGACAAUGAACUCAAGUUUUAGUGCUGAAACACAGAUCAAUUACAUUGGUUAGAAGUUUCGGGUUGUCACAUUAUCCACCUUUAGAGGGAAUUUCGUCCCGAAAUUCGAAAUUAAGAUACAAGUCAAGAUACAAAUAAUGGAUCUUGAAAGAGAUGCGGAUACUUCUGUUUCAUCGAGUCAUCACGCUCCCAAGUGAACUCCGGUCCCCGCUUGGCAUUCCAGUGGACCUUCACUAACGGGAUGCGGCUUUGCUUUGUGUGUUUGACUUCUCGAUCCAUGUUUUCGAUCGGUUCCUCCACGAAGUUGUGGUUUUCAUUGAUCUCGAUCUCGUCUAAAGGAAUCACUAGGGUUUCAUCAGAUAGGCUGUAACAGCGCGGAUUUCCAAGUAUCUUUUAUUCAUAUAUUUUUGGUGUUUUGUGAGGGGACUCGGCGAGUUGGAGCUCAAACUCGCUGAGUAGGAUCGCGGUUCUGGAUGCGGGUUCGCGCCUGGACUUGGCGAGUCCAUGAUGUUUAAUGAAACCCUAAUUUCCCAGUCCUAAGCCCUAUUUAAAGGACCUUAUGGCCCUUCAUUGCGGCUACCUUGACCUUGAGAGCACCUAAACAACUGAGAGUUCUUGUGAGUGAGAUAAGAGGCCAUUAUUCACGAAUUUUAUGUGUACUUGCAAGAAAGGAAGGGGAAAAUCAAGCUAGGAGAGUUGGGGAGCUUGGAUCUACUUCCAUUUCGUCAGAGGAAGCUUCUUGAGGUAUCUUUCAGAGCUUAUUCCCGUGUUUUUGUUGUUAUGGUCAAAUGUAGGUUUUCUUCAUGCCUUGUUUGCCUUGUAUUUGGAGUGUGAGAGGUCCCAUGGGGAUAUAGUACCUAGAUCUGGACCUUAAUAGGUCCAGAGAGUCCCAAAUGCCAUGCUUUAUGUCCUUCCUUUUGGGUUGGAGACUAGGGUUGCCAUCUUAGAGGUCAUUUCUUCAAAAGGAGCCUUGUAGGUGUUGCAUGGUAGUCAAGACUGUGACUUUACGUGCUGAAUGAGCUUGGGAGGAACAGAUCUAUGAAUUGAUGGAGCGUAUCUGGCCUCAGAAGCGAGAUUGAGUUGAUGUAUGGCAUGGACUCGCCGUGUCCGAAGAACAGACUCGGCGAGUAGCAUGAAGAUUGUCCUUAACCACUCAGCGAGUGGUCUUGCCGAGUUAAGGGUUGACUCAGUGAGUCAGGGAGAGUUAGAGAGGGUUGACAGGUGGACUGAGUCAAGCUGGAACUCGCCGAGUUGUUCUUGAGACUCGGCGAGUUGAGUCGUGGUGGCCCCGCGAUUCAUGCCAGGUGGAACUCGUCGAGUCAGGGAAGUACUCGACGUGUCAAGAGAGGAUCCUAGGGAGUCAGUGAACACGUAUAGACUCGCCGAGUCGCCCUAGUGCACUCGCCGAGUCCGGUCAAAGUUGACCGUUGACUGUUGACCAGAGUUGACCAGUGUUGACUUGAUAGGGGUAGUCAACCUUAGUGGUAAAAGUGUUAAUUAGAGAUAUAUGAUGUUAUAGGAGGAUUAUAGCUCGGAGGAUCGAGCACGAGUGAUUUCCAGGAUUCGCGAGUUAUCGAGAUAUACGAGGUGAGUCUUCUCACUAUACUUUACCUUGAGUAGGUAAUCAGAGUUAUGUGACAGAGUAUUUGUAUGCUAUAUGUAUGUUAUGUGUUGUACUGCAUCAUUUCUAUGUGAUUUAUGUUGUGCAUGUUUAUAGAGUUGGAACCGGAAGGUUCCCAGAGUUAGAACCAGUGGGUUCACAGAGUAGGGUCUACGGACCCACAGAGUUAUAGCCUCGAGUGGCUAAUAUGUGUUAUGUGUGGUAUAUUGGGGAACUCACUAAGCUUUGUGCUUACAGUGUUAGUGUUGUUUGUUUCAGGUACUAGUGAUGACCGUGGGAAGGCGCCGGGUUGAUCUGUACACAUGCAUGGGAUUUUCAUGUUAUGUGAUCUUGGGAUUUUGUAUGAUAUGGAUUUGAGUUUUAAACUCAAUGUUUUAUGAAAAUUAAAUGAAACUAUUUUUAUAUUAUGCGAAAAAUUAUUUUCAAAUUCACGGUGUUACAUAGGCACUUCUUGAGAUUUGAAACAUGGAAGACGGGAUGGAUGUUACUGAGCUCAUGGGGUAAACGAUGUUUAUAGGCAACCGGACCGAUCCUGGUGAGGAUCUCGAAGGGUCCAAUGUACCUAGGGUUAAGUUUCCCCCGCUUUCCAAAAUGUACUGUUCCUUUCUAGGGUGAUGCCUUCAAUAGGACACGGUCUCCAACCUGGAAUUCUAGAGGUUUCUGGCGGUUAUCAGCGUAACUCUUUUGGCGAUCUCGUGAAGCUUUCAAUCGUUCUCGGAUUUGGAUGAUCUUCUUAGUGGUUUCGCGGAUGAUUUCAGGACCAGUGAGAGCACUGUCAAGGACUCGACUCUUGGCUAGCUGUGUGUCCCCCAACUCGGCCCAGCACAGAGGGGAUUUGCACUUACGACUAUAUAGGGCUUCAAACGGGGCAACCCUGAUGCUGGUGUGGUAACUGUUGUUGUACGAGAACUCGAUCAAAGGUAGAUCUGUGUCCCACAACUUUCCAAAAUCGAUGACACAUGCCCUAAGCAUGUCCUCCAGGGUUUGGAUUGUUCUCUCACUUUGUCCAUCGGUCUGAGGAUGAUACGCCGUGCUCAUGUCUAGAUUGGUUCCAAGGGUUUGGAUGUAAAUUCUCACGAGUCUUUCCAUCUUGAAUGAUUCUUUGAUCGGAAUGAAGUGAGCGGAAUUUUUCAAACGAUCGACAAUUAACCAAAUGGUGUCCUACCCACUCGGACACUUGGGUAACUUGGUUAUGAAAUCCAUGGUAAUCAUCUCCCAUUUCCACUCGGGUAUCUCGGGCUGUUGGAGCAGGCCCGAGGGUUUCUGGUACUCGACUUUCACUUUGGCGCAAGUCAGACACUUGCCCACGAACGUAGCUAUCUCAGCUUUCAUGUUUGGCCACCAGUAUUGUUUCUUGAGAUCUAAGUACAUCUUAUCCGAACCUGGGUGAACCGAGUAUCUGGUCCUGUGUGCUUCCUACAUAACAAUCUCCCUGAAUCCUCCAGACUUUGGAAUCCAGAUUCGGUCCAUGAAACAGUAGACCCCUUCACCUCUGAUCUCAAGUUUCUUUUCCAUUCCUCUCAAGGCUUCGUUUGACACGUUCUCGGGUUUGAGGGAUUCUAAAUGGGUUCUUGGAUUUGCAUGGAUAAGUUGGAAUGUAUGGUCAUCGUCAGGGUCUUCACCUUUCGAUUUGAACUCUCCUUUUGGCUAAGGGCAUCUGCUACCACAUUAGCCUUGUCGAGAUGGUAACAGAUUUCACACUCAUAAUCACUGAGUAGUUCUACCCGUCGCCGUUGCGUCAUGUUCAAGUCUUUCUGAUCAAAGAUGUGAUGCAGACUCUUAUGGUCAGUGAAGAUCGUACAUUUGGUUCCGUAGAGAUAAUAUCUCCAAAUCUUCAAUGCAAAGACUACGACUCCUAAUUCCAAGUCAUGUGUGGUAUACUUGACUUCGUGUGCUUUCAGCUGUCUUGAGGCAUAUGCAAUCACCUUUCCCCUUUGCAUACGCACACAACCUAAGCCUUGAUUAGACGCAUCGCAAAAAACAACGAAGUCCUCUGUUCCUUCGGGCAAGGACAGGACCGGUUCACUGCACAAAGCUUUCUUCAAUGUUUGGAAUACAGUUUCUUGCUUUUCACUCCAACAAAAGGAUACACCUUUCUGAGUUAGAGUCGUUAAGGGUUUGGCGAUUCUGGAAAAGUUCUGGAUAAAUCUCCGAUAAUAGCCGGCGAGACCCAAGAAUUGCCGGAUUUCUGUGGGUGUCUUCAGUGCCGACCAAUUCUCUAUCACUUUAAUCUUGUAAGGAUCUACAUGAAUACCCUCCUCGCUUACCACGUGACCGAGGAAAGUUACCUUCUGAAUUCAGAACUCACACUUGGAAAAUUUCGCGUACAACUUCUCGGAUCUAAGGGUUUCCAACACUAGCCUCACGUGUUGUUUGUGAUCUUCUUCGCUUCUGGAGUAGACAAGUAUGUCAUCAAUGAAUACAAUGAUGAACUUAUCCAGAUAAGGACGACACACCCGCUUCAUCAGGUCCAUGAACACUGCCGGUACGUUGGUUAGACCGAAGGGCAUCACUACGAUUUCGUAGUGUCCAUACCGAGUUCUGAAAGCUGUUUUGGACACGUCACUCUCAUGAACUCAUAGCUGAUGGUACCCUGACCGAACCUCUAUCUUGGAGAAGUAAUUGGCUCCCUGGAGUUGAUCAAAGAGGUCAUCUAUUCGCGGAAGAGGAUAUCGGUUUUUGACGGUCAACUUGUUCAGCACACGGUAGUCGAUACACAUCCGAAAGGAUCCAUCUUUUUUCUUAACGAACAAUACCAGAGCUCCCUAGGGCGAGGAACUCGGUCUAAUGAAUCCUUUACUGAGCAACUCAUUGAGUUGGCUGGAUAACUCCUGCAUUUCUGCUGAGCUAAGCGANUGCAUUUCUGCUGGAGCUAAGCGAUAUGGAGAUUUCGCUACGGGGGUGGCUCCAGGAAUUAGGUCAAUGCGGAACUCAACCUGACGCUCAGGAGGAAUUCCUGGAAGCUCUUCGGGAAAUACAUCAGGAAAGUUACAGACUUCGGGGAUGCUCGCGAGGUCUUCAACUUCCUAUUUCUCAUUGAUUACAUGGGCUAAGAAUGCAAUGCAAUCCUUUCGUAGAAGCUUUUGAGCUUUGAUGCAGGAAAUUAUACGAAGAUUGGGACUGAGUUUAUCGCCAUAUAUUACGAGAGUUUGAUCGGAAGGAAGGUUGAGAUGGAUGGCUUUUUCGAAACAGAGGAUAUCAACAUAAUUGGGACUCAACCAAUCCAUGUCAAUGAUGACAUCAAAGCUCUUUAUUGAAACUGGCAUCAGAUCAAUGGGAAAUGAAUGGUCAUUUAGGGUAAGAGUACAACCUAUGAACACCUCGCUGGCGCUUUCUUUCUCACCGUUAGCCAUCUCGACGGUAAACAUUUCAGUUAAAGGUUGGGGAUUAUGUUUUAGGUUAUGUUUGAACGAAUGACUAACAAAGCUUCUUUCAGCACCCGAACCAAAAAGAAUACUAGCAUAUGAGUUGUCGAGAAGGAACGUACCCGAAACAACGGUGGGAUCGGCGACUGCCUCCUCCCGUCCCAUGGCUAGGACUCUUCCAGUAUUAUCAGUUGUUGACUUCUUGGGGCAGUUCCUUUAAAAGUGCCCAACCUCUCCAUAGUUAUAACAGGCUUGACCAACGCCUGCUCCAGAAGAUUGAUUUACAGAUUGGGCUGGUGCCUUGCAGAAUCGGACUGUGUGCCCCUUCUUACCACAACUGGUACAUGACAUCUCACGACAGGGGCCGGGGUUGUAGUGGUAUUUGCACUUGUCAUACAGAGGGAGAUUACCAGCAUAUCUGCUAGGAGGAGUUGGAGCUGUGGAUCCCACAACAGAAGCAGCAGCAACGGGAGUAGUAGCAGCAUGGAAUGCUACAGUCUGCUGUCUCUUGGAGGAUCCUUGGGAAGAUUGAUCCUUCUUCUUCUUCCAGAACUUUCUUUUCUGACAACUCCUCUUGGUUGGUUCAGGAGCGGUGGUAGUUUCCUCGACGUCAUCACUAUGAUCAAUUAGGGUUUGGGCUAAACUCUUGGCACUAUCAUAGGUAUUCGGACGUGCAGCUAAGAUGUUUACCUUAGUUGGCUGGGUCAGCCCCUAGAUGAACUUUUCUAUCUUUUUACUUUCAGGAGUGACCAAUCCCCAGCAGAGAAGUGCGAGUUCAUCAAAUCGAGAAGUGUAUGCAGCAAUAUCGGAACCCUUCAUCUUCAGGUUCCAGAGCUCAUGCUCUAGUUUCUGCAUUUCACCACGGGGACAGUAUGCGGCUAUUAGGAGUUCUUUCAUAGCUUCCCAGCACAUGGCGUUGGCUACGGGUAGGGUCAGAGAUUUGACUCGGCCAUUCCACCAAGUAAAGGCUUUAUCAAUGAAGGUACAGGCUGCGAACUUGACCUUAUCAGAUUCUGCACAGGCACAAAUUUCACAGACGGACUCGAUUUUCUGGAACCAUCGGGAUAAGGAAAUGACACCUCCAGUGCCAUCGAAGGAUGUUGGUUUCGCAUUCAUGAAUUCCUUAUAGGAAUCCUCCUUUUCGGUGUCCCUGAUUGCUUUCUUGAUCCUGAGUUUGAGUACCGCCUCCCGAACCACCGGAACCACCGGUGUUUAAUUGAGACAUAGCAGCUGCCACCGCUGCGGUAACAGCUGCCUGAAAUACCAUGGGGUCAAAUUCAGGAGGAAGUGGUGGGCGAGGGUUGUUGGUCUUUGAGUUGGGUCUCUUUCUUGGAGGCAUCUUGAUCUAAUAAGAUCAAGAAAGAGAGGAUGAUAAGUCCUCUGAAUCGAAUCGAGAGAUAUGACAGAUAUACAUUCCGAAUAAGCGAUAAAACAGGAAAGAUUUAUCAAAGCAGGUAAACUAUCGCUAAUGGAAUGAUCAAGGAUCUAUACGUGAAUGAGGAUUUCUACAAAGGUUUGGCUUGAUAAAUACUCCCAUAUUAUUUCAUGAUUCGCUACGACACUAGCUCAAUGUUUAUGGCAUUAGGGUAAGUUUUAGGCAUGCCGCAUACCACAGUCACUCCCAAGCACAUGUUGGCCGUGUCUCGAAUGGAUAUAGUUGGCUAGGCUAUAUUGAUCCUAGACAUGACUACAUAACUGCCCAGGUUUAACCGUAGUACACAACACCCAUUUACUUAUAUUUUGUUCUAGUUGUACUUACGGAUCUCGACGGUUCGGUAUACUUGUAUACGUUUGAAAAUACAUAUAGUUUAAAGAUACUUUUAAUUCAAAGCACUUAGGCCUUUAGUGUUUAUAGUUUUAUACCAUGUAAGGUUUGGUAUACUUUAUUCAGUAUAAACAAGGGCUCUGAUACCAAUCUGUCACACCCCGAAAACCGAAGGCGGAAACAUUUUCGGGGUUGACUCCACGUUGAGUAUCAAAUCCGAUGCACAUAGUAAGUAAAGUAAACAACCAUUACAUUACAUAUAUUAAAAGUUUACAUUUGUUUGAAAGUGAAGUUGUACAGGUGUGAUACAUAGUAUAUAUGAGCAAAAGUAAGACGAGUCUUCAACGCACUCCGUCUUUGCAAAAAGGAAUCAUCGGGUACCUGUCUAACGCUGACCUGAGAACACAAGCGGUUUGAAAAUCAGCAUAACGCUGGUGAGUUCAUAAGUGGUUUUUGUUUUGUUAAAAUGUUCAAGUUUCCUUUCUGAUUCUGAAAAUGUUACACACACCAAGAAAAUCCCAUAUUUUCUUAAAAGGUUGGUUAAUGGUUCUCAAGAUGUAAAGUAAAGUUGUACACUGAAAACACGUUUACUCUUGUGAAAUGUACAGUUAGGUUAUCUGGUUUGUUAUACUAUUCUGGUUAUGUACAAAUGUAUUCUCAGGAAAGUCCGAUACUUUCCUGAAUUGUUGGUUACCAAUUGUGAAAGAUGUAUACUGAAAAACAUAUUAACCCAUAUGAAAAUGUAAAGUUAUCCGGUUUGUCACACUUUUAUAGUUAUGUACAAUGUUUCCCAGGAAAGUCCCAUACUUUCCUGAAUGUUCGUUACCAAUGUGAAAGAUGUAUACUAAAACCUGCUUAUCUUGUGAAAUGUAUUACGUUAUUCAUUAUUUGUCACAACUGUAAAUUUUAAGCUAUGUAAUCUACACGUUCAAGUNAUUUCCAUUACCAUACAAUAGACUAGAUAUGGCAAUAAGUAGUCCACAUCACCUUGUGACUUUCGUCACCCUUGUACCAUUUCGGUUCGGCUGUAGCUAGCAGCCAGGUGUGGGGUAGUCAGUCCCGUAUAGAUAUGUACACUCAAGUCACGCUCCCUAUCCAAGAGAUUCUGGUUACGGGUGCAGUCCUCCACUCGCGUAUCUCUGUGGAGUGUUCACCGAGGACGUGUCUCCAAUCAUAUAGGACUAACAAAUUUACUAGUAAUAAUAUUAUAAUCCUCCACUCGCGUAUCUCUGUGGAGUGUUACCGAGGACAAAACAGUGUACAAGUUUUAUUCUCAAAGGUUCUAAUGUCAUGCUUUUAACUGAUAAAAUGUGGAAAACCAUUUGUGAAAUAUAUAAAACAUAACAGUUUAAAAUCCAUUUCACAAAUAUAUGUUUACGUGAUCUGCAUGUUCAAACGGUUAUCAGUUGUAACAAUCAGUGUUAAAAUCAUAUAAAAUGUGAAAUACACACAUGAAAACAAGUUUUGAGUACAAGUAAUCCCUUGUACUUUUCUUGUGUUCCCCCCUGAAAAGAGUGAAAAAUAGUGAAAAAGGGUAAGGGUAUGAACUCACCGCUUAAUGUGGAGUUCGAGUGUCAACGGAUGCCUUGAACUCCUAUGGCCCCUAUUUUUCAUGUGACGACACAUAAAUGAGUUAAAACUAAGGUGUUUCGUGACUAAUCAUGAUGGGAAAACAUUCUUAGGGCUUGGA
Molecule: long non-coding RNA, 12482 nt
Filed under: Lactuca sativa (garden lettuce)
Lineage: Eukaryota; Viridiplantae; Streptophyta; Magnoliopsida; Asterales; Asteraceae
Description: long non-coding RNA (LSAT_LNC010058)
Source: RNAcentral